Molecule: long non-coding RNA, 823 nt
Organism: Octopus sinensis (East Asian common octopus)
Lineage: Eukaryota; Metazoa; Mollusca; Cephalopoda; Octopoda; Octopodidae
Exons: 3
Source: RefSeq, a predicted model, not a curated record
UUAUAAUCAAUGUAUGAUUGAGUCUUUGAUUUUUUUUCUUUUUCCAGAACAGUUGUUGUGGUAUUGACGAGCCAGAAGACGUAGCUAAAUACAAUUUCAGGUGUGACAAUAUGGAUUGGCCAGGCUGUUAUACAAAAGUUAAAGAAACUAUCGAAAAAAAUCUCCCUGCAGCCAUUGGCAUUGCCAUCGCUAUUAUUCUGGUGCAGUUGUUUCUCAUCGUCUUCGCCUGCUGCCUUUGUAAUUCCAAAAGAGGGGAAACGCCUUCAUAGAUAGCUUCUCAAAAUGACUGAACACUUGAAAGUUAAUUAUUUUUCUUUCAUAUAAACACUUGUAUUCUAAUUACUCACAUUUUUUGUUUCAUCAUAUUUGAUGCAUAUUUUUGUCGAACCUAUAAAUUUCUUAAUAUCUGUCUCUGUACUUCAAAAAGACUAAUUUCACUUGAUUAAAAAAAAAAAUAUAUAUAUAUAUAUAUAUAUAUAAACAUAAUUAGGACCAUGUGCAGUUUGAGUUUAAUUAACGUCAUCAGUCUUUCAAUGUUACACAUUAUUCUUUUCACUCUUGAUACUUUAAUAAACUUGCUCAAGCUAUCGUUGCUAUAUUUAUCUCUCUUUCAUUGCUUACCUAAGCACAGUUUGUUGUAAACCCAAGGAUUUUGGUGUUUCGUCUUCAUCACAUUCCUGCUUUGGGUCUUUUGCUAAAAUUCAUUUUAAAGGCUGCUGGGAAUACAACUUAUCGUAAAAGGCCCAUUUGACCCACAAAAAAAAAAGAGAGCUUAAGAAUCUGGUUUACAUUAAUAUUUUACUUUUUACUCUUGCUAUUAAAA